RNAcentral lists this long non-coding RNA (3911 nucleotides) under Sorghum bicolor (sorghum). RNAcentral's name for it is "long non-coding RNA (SBIC_LNC017114)". Lineage: Eukaryota; Viridiplantae; Streptophyta; Magnoliopsida; Poales; Poaceae. The record is from RNAcentral.
AUCUGACAAAUGUUUUAAAUGCUACACAUUCCAUCAACUUCGUCUUGCUCACUAUGCUUAAGGUUAGAGAAGAACAAAUACACUUUUGGUUCUGUUGGUGUUUUCACCAACAGGGCCCAUGCACUUGAUCUCUGCCUUGUCUCUAUGAGCAGGUACACUUCGAGCAAAACCUGAAGGAGUUUUACAACUCCCAGAUUCCACCAAGUGAAGGACUUGGAUCUACGAGCACAAACACAUUAGAGAUACUGGACACUCAGCAAUCAUUGCCCUGAGAUGCUUGAGGACGUAAACUAUAUCAACAAAAACUACUACUACUACAACCGUCCUCAACAAAAUCAAGGUUGGAAUCAACAGAGGCCUAACUACUCAGAGAGGCGAUCCAGGACGCCCCGUCAUCCCGAUCUCCAUCGGCAUGGUGGACUUCCUAGAAGCACUCUGCGACUUUGGCUCCAGCGUCAACAUUAUGCCCAGGCUUGCAGAACGGACACUAAGUUUCCCAAAGGGAAUAUUGAAGAACCUCUGUGUCCGAGUUGGUACCUUGUACGCCCCAGCAGACUUCAUGGUGAUAGAGACUAGUAGUGAUAAAAGGGCACCCAUCAUCCUAAGGAGGCCAUUCUUGAACACCUCGGGAGCUGCCAUCUACGCUAGUGUUGCCAAUAUCAGUUUCUACAUCAAUGGGAGAAGACGAGUACGAUCCACCCAUCAUCCUUGGGAGACCGUUCCUCAGCACUGUUAAAGCAAUCAUCUACAUUGGAACCAGAGAAGUGCACAUACACUUCCCCUCUAAGAAGGUACGCCGCUAUUUUACUGACCCUAACUAUAUAGUUGAAGACUCUAAGCAGGUCAGGACAAGAAGAAGAUAACGCAACCGCAACCAGAGGAGGCAAAUCAUCAAGGACGGAUGGGCAGACUACGAAGGAGAAGUAGUAAGGUCUGAAGACAUACAACUUGAACAGAACUGUCCUGAGGAGACGGUAGCACCGAGUCAAAUGUGGAGAGAGAAGAUAGUUAUACAUGAAGAGGAGGCGCCGCCGGAACCACCGACUACGCCAUCCAGCGAAUCCCAGGACGACUGAGAAAACGAAGAGUCCCGUUUGGAGGACUUAAAAGCACCAAACGCCUUGCCAAGAGGUAAACUUGGUAGUUAUCCUUUUUCUUAUCAACUAUUUAAAAUAGUUUGCUUAGUUAAUCAGGUUCAUAUCAUCUUGAAAAGAAAAUAAAAAGGUAAAAAAUAGUAAGCUCCAUGUGAGUAUGCUCAUGGCAUAAAACCCAUAAGUACAUUCACUGUGGUGGCAUAAAAAUAAAAUAAAUAUAUUCAUGUCCUAUAAAAAUGAAAAUAUAAAAAUAAAUUUAUGAUCCUACCAAAGAGAGUAACAUUUAUUGAGGAGGCUCAACAUGAUAAAGGCUAGAUUUUUAUGCUAACACUUAACUAGUUCCACAAAGCUUUGUUGUCUAUUUGAGCUCCACAGAAUUCAAGGAUCAAAGAAGACUAGCCGGCGGAGGACAUAAUAAUCGUUGUCAGGGUGCUGCCGGUAUUCAAAUACACCUCCAUCACCUGCUAGCUACAUCAGAAAAAAUUACGUCAAAAUCCAGCCUGGAGGAGAGCACCCCCAUUUAUCCAGCUAAGUGUUUCUACUCGCGUUUAUACUUUACUCAAAUAAUAAAAAGAUGCAUAAUCAUGAAAAUCCAAAUAAAUUUUUUUGUGCUUAUAUAUAUAUAUAUAUCUUUGCUUAGUUUGCUAAAUAAAUAAAUAAAGUGUCUAGGCCAAACUGAACAUAAAUGAUAAACUCUCACAUGGAAAUGAUGAAUAGUUGCUCUGCCAUGACUAGUUCUCAAAAUUGAAAUCUUUCUCAAGUUUAGGCAUAACCGUUAUAAUUUAAACCUGCUCUAAACCUGAACUUGUGGGAAGAGUACUUGAUCUAAAGUCUAAGUCGUUAACGGAUAUGAUAUGGGAAGGUUAAGCUGCUGUUUAUCUGUUUCUAGAGAUGCUAGAAUUCUAGAAAAUUUUAUCUUUGAAAAUCUUUAAAAUAACACAUGAUGAGUUCCUGUAUGAUGAGAGUUUAAAUUCCUACCAUAGCCAUGUAUACAUGCUUGCUAGACUUUGAGCCACACAUUUACUUUUUACUGCUUAUGAGCAUUGAGUGUGGUCAAGCUAUGUAGACCCUUAGGAGCUUGUCAUGCGGUUAAAAUCAAGAUUCACUUGCACGUUCACUCAUACAUGCUACUUCUACUCUGGAAGUACGCAUCCACAUCCAUCUCCAGAGCCACCCAAAAGUAUUCUACUCCUAAUCCGGGAGAGAAUAGCCAAAAACACUCUCCUAUUUCUGUUUUUCCCUAUGAAAUAAAUGCUCGAGUUAUCUUGGUUACUACCACUUGCUAUAUUUUAGGAGAUGAGUGCUCUGAAAAAAAGAAAAAAAAAGAGAAGAGAAAGGAUACAAGAAAAUAAAAAGGGACAAGUGCCCGGAACCUCGAAGAAAAGAAAAAGUGAGACGAGAGGUAAAAAUAGACAAGUGUCCGACAGUAGAAUUAGGGGUACAAGAUACCCACCUGAGAGGAAAGAAAAAGAAAAUGUAGAGCAUCUCAUUCUCCUCAAAAAGCUUCAAAGAGCAAGAAAGGUAUGUAUCCCGUCAAAAGAGCAAAAGUAGAAUUAGAUUUUCACCAUUAUAACCAUCAUCACCAUACACCAUUCAUUCGCCACACAUGCACAUCUUGAUUUGACUUAUUGACUUGUUUCUCUAGAUCCAUGGUUUGACUAUGCAAUAAAUGUCUUGUAAGUAUGUAUUAGCUGUCUCCCACCUAUGAGCUCCAGAUAUCAAAGCCUCAUUAGAGUAGGGUGAGAGAAUAGGCAAUAUCACUAUGCCUCAUACCAAAAAUACCACAUACUUUGAGAGAAGGCAUAUACCAUUACUGCCUUGGAAAGGAUCCAGAAAUAUCACAAAAGACAGAUUUGAGAGAGUCAUACAAGGAAUCUCUGAGUUUUAUUUGAAAAUCUGCAAAAACUCCAGAGCUAUAGUUAAUCAAAGAACAAGAGACAUGGCGCUUGACUUGACCGUUCUAUCUUUUAACUGCUCAAGACACAAGUGACAGUUGCAAGCCCCAUGGUUAAAGGUAAAAUGAGUAAGUUUUAAGUCUUAACAGUUUACUCUAACUUAGAGAUGGGAUCUUGCUUGAACGCAUGUGUACUUUUAAGGCAUGAAACCACUGCAGAAACUCUUAAGUCCAUCCUUGCUCAGGGACGAGCAAGAGGUAAGCUUGGGGGAGUUGUUGACGGUCCUUAAGUACCAAAUGUAAUCAUCAAAUCAAUAAAGAAAAGGAUCCAAAUGCAACCAACACCCAGACUUAGGGUUUUUAUCUAACAGAAUUCCACGAGUUUUGGUGUUUGUCUGUUUCUGCAGGGGGUUAUCAAGAAAUAUGGAGGAAAGGCCCACAUGUCCGGUUUACAUAGAGAUAUUAACGUGCCGCGCGAUUUUCUAUCAUCUAGAAGACUCCAGAAGCCACGGGAACGAACGGGAGGCCGAGCGGGCCUAGGGGCAGGGCGCCCGCCCUCCCCCCUUGGGCGCCCGCCCAGGUGUUGUGGCCAAUCAUGUUCAAUCUCGCGGAUUAUGCUCCACCGACCUAAAGGAUCAAGGAGAACCGUUCAAUCAAUGUCGGUUUGAUCCGACGGCCCACGUUCACUUGAGGGGACUAUAUAAGCAGGCCCCCUGGCCCCUGGAGGAGAGCAAUCCCAUUAUUCAUUAUCAUAUUUUCUUGAGAGGAUUCAGAGAGAGAGGUCCCUCUAGGGAUCCAACCUCAUAGGGCUUAGCAUCCAAUGUGAGAGUAGAAUUAGUUCUACUAGAUUGAGAGAGAUAGAGUGGAGGUGUAGAUCGGAGGAAGCCCGGCCUGUCGGAGUCUACUCUGAGGUUGUACCUGCG